GUGGCAGUGACGCACAGACGGGAAGUAACCCUCAGCCCAAACCACCACCUUGUACUCACCCGGGUUCAGGAGACGCCAGUAGUCCCCGUCAGUGGCUGAGGAAAUAAAAACAAGACACCUGAACCCUGAACCCUCUAGCCUGAAACCUGGAACCUGUACCUGCCUCCCGCCCCAUUCCUGUUCGGCUGUGGACUUCUAUUUGGACUUGCUACGCCAAUCUAGACCCACCUGGAUAUUCAGCCUGCCCCUGUGGGGACCCAGACCCGUCCGCUGGUAGGAAGAAGCCUGAAUCUGGCUGUCAUCGACCCGCAGGGACUCCAGGCCAAGAGGAGGACAGUCUGGAAGGAAAUGGAGAUCAAAUCUUCUGCGGUUCACCGCCAAGCUGAAGAGCUUCUCUCUCCACUCUGCGUUUGGACACGAUGUUUCAUCUUUCAUGAUUCACAUUGUCCUCCACCUCGCUUUGCUGGGAAACUUCUUUUUGUAUACUCUAUAACUCAACAUCUUCUCCAGCUUGUCGUGCUCCCAAAUCAUGACCUGCAGCACCUGCUGGUAACUCUAAAAUGUCUUCAAAAUAACUCCUGCUGCACCUCCUGGAAAACAUCAACAGCUGAGACCAUGUAAACUGUCCAAAUUACAAUAUAAAAACCAGACAGUCAAUAAAGAGAUUGUUGAUGUAUCUGUAUCAAACUGUUGUGUAUGUGUUGGAUGUGAAAAGCAA
This is a long non-coding RNA of Perca fluviatilis (European perch), 718 nucleotides long. RefSeq lists it as uncharacterized. Lineage: Eukaryota; Metazoa; Chordata; Actinopteri; Perciformes; Percidae. The record is from RefSeq and is a predicted model, not a curated record. The transcript has 4 exons.